CGCGGGCCGUGAGGGCGCGCGCACUGGGGCGGGGCUAGGCUGGCCGCCUGCGGUGCUGUCCCAAGUUACGCUUGUGGCGAGGUGCACUGAAAUCGGGACCUCCCCAGUCGAGAACGCCCGGCGGCCGGCGGGUGUGAGGGGUGGGCGAAGAUUCUAGAAGCCGGGAGGACCCCUCCCCACCCCUGGGAUCCCCGCUGAUGCUCCCCGCCGCUCCGGGGUCUUGGCUGGCUACUCGACAAGGCCCCAGGCUGCGCCCCUCGCCCCUGCCCGAGGCGGCGCCCACCUGCUGCGCGCUGGCCGCCUCGCCUGCGCCGGGCACCUGCGCUCGCUGGGGGCGGCCGGGGGCGCGGGGCUCCACGUCGGGAGCUGUGGGACUUCCGGUCGCCUGCGUUGUUAGCUGUGGGCUGUCCACGGUCUGUGCCGCUCCCCGCUGAGACAGGACGCAGCGCACCCAGGCCUCCGCUCACCUCUCCCUUUCCGCUCCCUGCUGGCUGUUGGGCCGGGGGCGCAAGGAGGGAGCUCGGUGUGUCCUGCGGUCACGGUCACGCGCGGCUCCAACAGAGCCUGGCUGAGAGGGCGCCCUGUCGGCCCUCCCCGGUCUCCCUCCCAGCCUGCUGUCCGCCCCGCUCUCAGAUCCUUUCCUUGGGCUUUGCUCUGGGGCAUCCGGGACUGGGACUGCCCGGCACCAGGUCAGCGGGGGCCGGCGGCCCUGGGGGCGCCGGGAGUCCCUGGCACGGCCUCCCAGCUGUGCUGAGUGGCGGUGGGCGGUGGGGCCUCCCAGCUGUGCUGAGUGGCGGUGGGCGGUGGGUGGAGAAGGAGGCGCUGACUUUGGCCGCAGCUCUGGCUCCUGCAGACACGCAGACAACGGUGAUAUUCAAGACUGGAGUCUCUGUUCUGUAAACCGGUACCAGAGGAAAACAUGCAGGGGCUCAAGUCGGCCGAGUCCACCCUAGGCCACCUUCCUACGCCCAGGACGUCACCCUGGUGGCCUGGAGUCAGCGCUGCCGCCGUGGGAAUCGGCAGAUCCGUCAAAGCGAAGCCGGAACUCAGAGCCAAGGCGUCCCCUGGAGCCCCACCGCGUCCAGCGGACCUGAAUCUGAAUCUUAACACUUGAAGCCCCCAGACCAGGGCUGGGCAGCGUCCGGCCUGCGGGCCAGAGGAGACCACGGGACCUGGCCAGACCAAAGCCGCUGCAGGCAAGACAGAAGUGCGGUACAGCUGCUCUUUUUUAUUUAUUUAUUUUUAUUUUUUCAUUAUUUAUUUAUUUAUUUAUUUAUUUUGACAGGCAGAGUGGACAGUGAGAGAGACAGAGAGAAAGGUCUUCCUUUGCCGUUGGUUCACCCUCCAAUGGCCGCCGCGGCUGGCGCACCGCGCUGAUCCGAUGGCAGGAGCCAGGAGCCAGGUGCUUUUCCUGGUCUCCCAUGGGGUGCAGGGCCCACGCACUUGGGCCAUCCUCCACUGCACUCCCGGGCCACAGCAGAGAGCUGGCCUGGAAGAGGGGCAACCGGGACAGAAUCCGGCGCCCCGACCGGGACUAGAACCCGGUGUGCCGGCGCCGCAAGGCAGAGGAUUAGCCUAGUGAGCUGCGGCGCCGGCCACAGCUGCUCUUUAAGCCCAUCGUUUUGUACGGUCCACGAGUGAUGUUAUAAAUACCCAAGUGGCCCUUGGCCAAAAACAACUGGUCCCCACCCCAUUCUAGACGUUUCCAACCUUCCGCCUUCUCAGCUGUGGGAUAGUAGGCUACCUCACAGAGGUCGUGGAUUGGUUGGAAAUUAGCCGUGUUCUUGAGGUUGGGGAGGGACCCAUAAGAAGGCAGCGGGGGCUUGGGGACCAUCAGGGAAGAUGGGUGGACAGACCUGGGGAGAGGGGAGACCCAUGGAGUGGGUGGGGUUAAACCAAGGGGAGACGGCGCUGUGGGCCUGAGGGGAACAGCAGUCCAGAGAGGCGGUCAGAUGUGGCGGUGAUGGCUGAUUUGAGGACGGUCUGAAUCCACUUAACUCCUUAAACCUGGGGAGGGAGGGCUCUUCCUGCCGAGGGCCCUCUGCAUGUAACAUCAUCCGUGGGGCCAUGCAACACCCUCAACUUAAAGAACAGCUGGGUGUAGCCUGGACAGUUACCUUGGCAGGGCCAGUCCAGGGAUGUCCCAGCCUUGUAUGGCCCAUGCUUUGCUUCUCCCCAGCCCCGCCUCGGGCGGAACACGCGCUGUGUCUGGGCCUCAGGAGACAGACACGAAGCCUCGUCCUGCAGCCCAGCCCAGCCCCAGAUUCGGAGGAGCUGGAAGCCCCAGGAUACACUGCCAUCCCGCAGGUGGGGGCGGGGGAGUCGGAAGACUCAGAACGAGGUUCCCGGGGAGGAAGGGGGAGCCGCUGGUCCUCAUCGCGGGUGACCACAUGUCUGGGCACCCCAUGGCCCCCUAACCUUGACCAUCCCAUAUGCGUCACUGGAUUGUGACGGGACUGGUGCAAUGCGCUUCCGGCCUGCCGCUGGCUGUCCUUGGAAUAGGACACCACCGUUCCUCUUCUGUCACCAAACUGAGAAUCCAGCUCGAGUCCCGGAGCUCGCCUGGGGUCAGCCCCGCGCUCUUGGGAGGUCCGGGUUGGGGCAGGUAGGACGCAGAGCUGACCAGGGCCUCUGCCACCCGUGUUCCCCUGGGCUGUGCAGGAGACAGCAGCACGCUGGGAAACGUGGCAUAGUUGCCACGGCACUGGAACUGCUCAGUCCACUGUUCCCACGAGGACAUGUCGAGGCCAGGCAUGGCCCUGAGAGCCACGGUCCCUGGGUGCUGGUGGCCACAGCAAGUUUCCCAUUCAAAACCGGGAGUGAAGCUGGCUGUAGUGUGUGCAGUCCGUGUCACACGUAGCACAAACAGACGGGAGCUGCCAGUUGUCUGGAAUACACAGCCCAAAUUUGCUGUCCCCGUGCCUCUGAGCCAACUUACUUUUUUAAAUGCCACCAUUUUUCUUUAAAAAUAAAUAAAAGGUUUUUUUUUAUUUUGAAAGAGAGAGAGAGAGAGAGGAUCCAUCCAACAGUUCAUUCCCCAAAUGCUUCUAAGUGCCCACGGGUAUGGGUCAGGCCCCAGCCUGGAGCCAGGCAAUCCGGACCCCGCGGGGGCAGGGACCCAGCCUGGAGCCAGGCAAUCCUGAUCCCCCCCCGCGGUGGCAGGGACCCAGCCUGGAGCCAGGAAAUCCGGACCCCCCGCGAUGGCAGGGACCCAGCCUGGAGCCAGGCAAUCCGGACCCCCCGCGGUGGCAGGGACCCAGCCUGGAGCCAGGCAAUCCGGACCCCCCCACGGUGGCAGGGACCCAGCCUGGAGCCAGGCAAUCCUGAUCCCCCCGCGGUGGCAGGGACCCAGCCUGGAGCCAGGCAAUCCGGACCCCCCCACGGUGGCAGGGACCCAGCCUGGAGCCAGGCAAUCCUGAUCCCCCCGCGGUGGCAGGGACCCAGCCUGGAGCCAGGCAAUCCGGACCCCCCGCGGUGGCAGGGACCCAGCCUGGAGCCAUCACCACCGCCUUCCAGGGUGCAGAGUGGUGGAAGCUGGACCCGCAUGUGGGGCCAGGACCCUGGCAGGCAGUGUGGGUGGCGGGGUCUUGGCUGCUGUAACCCCGUGUUUCCUGUGAGACAAGCCAUACUCGGAGAGCCCGGGCGGUGUGUCCACGGUGCCAUGGCGAAGCCGAGAGGAACCACCCACGCGUGUUGGCGCCCACCUCACCUCGUGCCGUGGUGAGCGUUUGCUCCCUCCCGAGAUUCAUGGAGUCCGUUGUCUUGCUCGGCUUUUGUUACCGUGACUGAAGGCCACGGGGCAAUUUGUGAAGAAUGGAGGGUUAUUCGGCUCCCGCGCGGAGAACCACGGUCGUGGUGCCCGCCUCAAGUGAGGCCUGCUGGCCGGGGUGGGAGUGGAGGUGGGGCCCUCCCUUGACCUCAUCUGCCCUGAGGGCUUCCCGAAGGGCCCACCCCCUGACAGGAUGAGCCUGCGGUUAGGUUUCCCUAGCUGUGGGUUAAGGACAUGGAUCCCACGAGGGAGACAUGGAUGCCAGACGCAGAAUGAAGGCCACAGCCACCAGGGGGCAGUGUGCAGCAGGACAACCCCGAGGGAUGCGGUUCCUUGCCUUGCACCCUCUGCUGGAUGACGAUGACAACAUACCCCCCCCCCCCACAGUGUACCACCUCGGCGGGUCCUCGGAGCCUGUGACGACUGAGUAGAAGCGUGUGUGUGUAUGCACAGGUAUAUGACAUGUACACACACUGAGUAGAAGCGUGUGUGUGUAUGCACAGGUAUAUGACAUGUACACACACACUGAGUAGAAGCGUGUGUGUGUGCAUAUGCACAGGUAUAUGACAUGUACACACACUGAGUAGAAGCGUGUGUGUGUGCAUAUGCACAGGUAUAUGACAUGUACACACACACUGAGUAGAAGCGUGUGUGUGUGUGUAUGCACAGGUAUAUGCACAUGUACACACACACUGAGUAGAAGCGUGUGUGUGUAUGCACAGGUAUAUGACAUGUACACACACUGAGUAGAAGCGUGUGUGUGUGUAUGCACAGGUAUAUGACAUGUACACACACUGAGUAGAAGCGUGUGUGUGUAUGCACAGGUAUAUGACAUGUACACACACACUGAGUAGAAGCGUGUGUGUGUAUGCACAGGUAUAUGACAUGUACACACACACUGAGUAGAAGCGUGUGUGUGUGUAUGCACAGGUAUAUGACAUGUACACACACUGAGUAGAAGCGUGUGUGUGUGUGUAUGCACAGGUAUAUGACAUGUACACACACACUGAGUAGAAGCGUGUGUGUGUGUAUGCACAGGUAUAUGACAUGUACACACACACUGAGUAGAAGCGUGUGUGUGUGCAUAUGCACAGGUAUAUGACAUGUACACACACUGAGUAGAAGCAUGUGUGUGUGUGUAUGCACAGGUAUAUGACAUGUACACACACUGAGUAGAAGCGUGUGUGUGUGUGUAUGCACAGGUAUAUGACAUGUACACACACUGAGUAGAAGCGUGUGUGCGUAUGCACAGGUAUAUGCAUGUACACACUGAGUAGAAGUGUGUGUGUGUAUGCACAGGUAUAUGACAUGUACACACACUGAGUAGAAGCGUGUGUGUGUGUGCAUAUGCACAGGUAUAUUCACAUGUACACACACUGAGUAGAAGCGUGUGUGUGUGUAUGCACAGGUAUAUUCACAUGUACACACUGAGUAGAAGCGUGUGUGUGUGCAUAUGCACAGGUAUAUGACAUGUACACACACUGAGUAGAAGCGUGUGUGUGUGUGUAUGCACAGGUAUAUGCACAUGUACACACUGAGUAGAAGCAUGUGUGUAUGCGUAUGCACAGGUAUAUUCACAUGUGUACACACACGUGUGCGCUCUGCUCUCCCUCUGUUCAUGUAGGAGGUGACCGUCUGCCCCCUCCGGGACGGGCAGAAGUUGACCACUGAAGUCCCUCGUAGCCUGGAAUGGCACGGGGGACUCUGGAGAACCAACACCAAGCAGCCCCACCCCCGGCCGGGUACCUGCCCUCGUAUUGACCUUCCUUUGCUGCCCUAGAAAGUUGGAAACCUUCCCCGCAGCUUGUGGCCUCUCACGGGUGUUGCUCUCCGUUAAGACGUGACAUGAGCUGAGCCACUCACGGAGUACUGGUCCAUGUACACACAGUAACAAAGUAACAAACUUCUGUGCCUUUCACUCUUGUUUAUCUGUCUUGCCAGUCCAGCUUACAGAGCCUUAGCUAGGGGCUCCAAGAUGGCUAGAGGGAAAACCUCUCUAUAAUAGAGAAAUGGACAGCAGACAUGACCAGUUAAUUGUCCGGCGUCGCCAGCAUCCAGUACCAGACUGCUGGUUUGUGUCCCAGACGCUCUGCUUCUGACUGGCUUCCUGCCGAUGCACCCGGGAAGCAGCCGAUGAUGGCCCAAGUGCACCGGUCACCAUGCGGGAGACCCGGAUGGGGUUACUGGGUCCCUGGCCAUUGCAGUCAUUGGGGAAUGAAUCAACAGAUGGAAGCGUGCUCUCUCUCUCCCUUUCUCUUUCUCUGUCUGUGUUUAUGUCUCACUCUGCUUUUUCAAUAAAUAAAAAUUGAAAAUUACUCUAAGUUGCUCGGAACUCCCUAUUUGACUUACUGCUUAAAUAUCUUUGACAUGCAGGUUCAGAAUCAGGCCCACAGCACCACAGCAGACGCCUGGCUGCCCGUGCCAGCAGGGGCUGCCCUGGCUGCCUGGUCCCCCUCCCAGCUCCUCCCAGCAGCGUGGGGAGG
This is a non-coding RNA of Oryctolagus cuniculus (rabbit), 6252 nucleotides long. Lineage: Eukaryota; Metazoa; Chordata; Mammalia; Lagomorpha; Leporidae. The record is from RefSeq and is a predicted model, not a curated record.